GACUGGGGGAUGGCUCGGCUCGAGAGCUGAUGAAGGUCGUGACAAGCUGCGAUAAGCUACGGGGAGGCGCAUGAAUGCCUUGGAUCCGUAGAUGGCCGAAUAGGACCUCCUGGCUUUACGAAGUCAUUCCCGUAUUAAUUUACUGGAAAGGGAACCGCCCGAAUUGAAGCAUCUUAGUAGGGCGAGGAACAGAAAUCAAACGAGAUUCCGUUAGUAGUGGCGAAUGAACACGGAAUAGAACAAACCGAAUCCGCUUGGGAAACCUUGUGGAGAUGUGGGGUAUGGAUCACCUAUCGUCUAAAUUCACGAAGCAGAAGUCGAUCUGGAACGACGUACCAUAGAGGGUGAAAGUCCCGUAUGUGUAGUGAACAUGACCAAGUGGUGAAUCCUGAGUAGCGUGCGUUGGAUAUCGCGCGUGAAUAUGGGAGGCAUAAACUUCCAAUUCUAAAUACAACUCGAGACCGAUAGUAGACCAGUAGUGUGAACGAAAGUUGAAAAGUAUCCUGAGAGGGAUGUGAAAAGAACCUGAAACCAGUUAGGGACAGACUGAAUAGGCGUGAAAGCGAAGAUAUGAGCAGCGUCUAUUCGUGCGUUUCGAAUAAUGCCCCUGGGAGUCUUGAUCAUUGGCGAGGUUAAGCAGUUGAUCUGCGAAGCCGUAGGGAAACCGACAAGUCCGCAGCCCGUAAGGGUGAGGGACGAGAUGUGCUCGUCUGAAGUCAAUGGUGGAGGACCUGAAGCCUAUCGAUCUAUGCCUGGCCAGAUUGAAGCCCGAUGAAAGUUGGGUGGAGGAUCGAACCGUUGCUGAUGUGCAAAUCGCUCGGACGAGUUGGGUAUAGGGGUGAAAGUCCAAUCGAGAUGGGCAAUAGCAGGUUCCGCGCGAGACUACUCGUAGGUAGACCUCUGUGGAGAUAGAUUGUGCUGUAGAGCACUGAUUGGGUAUUUAGGGGGAGCGAUCCCUCGGUAUGCUGUCAAACUCCGAAGGUGCAAUCAUUGUAGAAACAGGGAGUGAGUCGCGGUGGGUAAGCUACCGUGACGAAAGGAGAACAGUCCAGCCUAGCGUUAAGGUCCCAAAGUACUAACUAAGUGUCAAAGACAAACCGUGUCCGUGGUCGAAAACAACCAGAAGGUGGGCUUAGAAGCAGCCAUCCUUGAAAGAGUUCGUAACAGAUCACUGGUCAAGCUUGCGGGCCGGGAAAAGGGACGGGGCUAAAGUUAGUCACCGAUACGCUAGACCAGCGAAAGCUGAUGUGGUAGCGCGGCGACAUGUUCGGGUAGAAGGUAGGCCUUGAGGUCUACUGGACCGUAUAUGUAUGAGAAUCUAGGGAAAAGUAGCAGCAAAGAGUGGUGAGAAUCCGCUCCACCGGAGGGGCCAGGGUUCCUCGGCAAUGUUCAUCAGCCGAGGGUUAGCCGGUCCUAAGGUCAUUCUUAACCGAAAUGAUCGAAUAGGGAAAUGCGUUAAUAUUCGUAUGCCUCUGUGCAAUUAUGGUGACAGCUUGGGCUAGUCUUACAGGUCAUAUGUCAGGCCUGAAGAUUGUAUAAGGAAUUGGAGAACCGUCAUGGUGAGAAGAUUCCGAAAUCAAUUGACAAUAUAAGAUGACGCCUAGGCUCCGUGAAAAGCCGCACAGAAGACCGUACCUAGAACUGACACAGGUGCCCCUGGGUGAGUAGCCUAAGGUGUGACGGGAAAAGUACCGCAAGGGAACUCGGCAAAAUAGCUCCGUAACUUCGGGAGAAGGAGUGCCAGCUUAGAGAUAAGCUGGUCGCAGUGACCAGGGGUCUCCGACUGUUUAAUAAAAACAUAGGCGACUGCCAGUCCGAAAGGAUGAGUAUAGUCGCUGAAUCCUGCUCAGUGCCGGUAUCUGAAAUCGGGGUUCAACCUGACGAAGGACCGGUAAACAGCGGGGGUAACUAUGACCCUCUUAAGGUAGCGUAAUACCUUGUCGCUUAAUUGGCGACUUGCAUGAAUGG
RNAcentral lists this ribosomal RNA (1968 nucleotides) under Methanobacteriota archaeon. RNAcentral describes it as "bacterial LSU rRNA". It matches the Rfam family "Archaeal large subunit ribosomal RNA", at positions 20 to 2076 of the family's 2987-position model. The record is from RNAcentral. Lineage: Archaea; Methanobacteriati; Methanobacteriota.